CCGAUGACGCAGAGAAGGGCGCACGGGGGAUGCCUAGGCUCUCAGAGGCGAUGAAGGACGCGACAAGCUGCGAUAAGCUGCGGGGAUUGGCACAUACAAGUUGAUCCGCAGAUUUCCGAAUGGGGCAACCCACUGUGUUGAAGACACAGUACACCUUAGGGUGAGCGAACCCGGGGAACUGAAACAUCUAAGUACCCGGAGGAAGAGAAAACAAGAGUGAUUCCGCAAGUAGUGGCGAGCGAACGCGGAACAGCCCAAACCAGGCUUGUCACGGCAAGUCUGGGGUUGUAGGGCCGCGAUGUGGGACCAAAGAUUGAAGCAUAACGUUCUGGGAAGAACGACCAUAGGGGGUGAUAGUCCCGUGUGCGUAAGCUCUUUGGCCCUAGCGGUACCCUGAGUAGGGCGGGACCGGAGAAAUCCCGCCUGAAUCCACCGGCACCAUCCGGUAAGGCUAAAUACUCCUGAGAGACCGAUAGUGAACCAGUACCGUGAGGGAAAGGUGAAAAGCACCGUGAAUAACGGGGUGAAACAGAUCCUGAAACCGUGCGCUUACAAGCGGUCGGAGCCCAUUAGUUGGGUGACGGCGUGCCUUUUGCAUAAUGAGCCUACGAGUUGCUCCUCCCUGGCAAGGUUAAGUGUCUUCGAGGCACGGAGCCGCAGCGAAAGCGAGUCUGAACAGGGCGCGCAGUCAGGGGGGGCAGACGCGAAACUUUGUGAUCUACCCAUGGGCAGGAUGAAGGCUGGGUAAAACCAGUUGGAGGUCCGAACCAGUUUACGUUGAAAAGUAUUUGGAUGACCUGUGGGUAGGGGUGAAAGGCCAAUCAAACUGAGAAAUAGCUCGUACUCCCCGAAAUGCCUUUAGGGGCAGCGUCGCGGUGGAGUCAUGUGGAGGUAGAGCUACCGAUAGGACUAGGGGGAGUCACAUCCUACCGAAUCCUGACGAACUCCGAAUGCCACUUGACAUACGCGGCAGUGAGGCCUGGGGUGCUAAGGUCCCGGGCCGAGAGGGAAAGAACCCAGACCGCCAGCUAAGGUCCCUAAAUUCAGACUAAGUUGAACAAAGGAGGUCCACUUGCUUAGACAGCCAGGAGGUUGGCUUGGAAGCAGCCAUUCCUUUAAAGAGUGCGUAACAGCUCACUGGUCGAGCGAGAGGGCAUCGAUAAUAAUCGGGCAUCAAGUCUGAUACCGAAGCUGCGGAUUGCACUAUGUGCACUGGUAGGGGAGCAUUCCCUUCUGCGGUGAAGGCGUCCCGGCAAGGGGCGCUGGAGCGUAGGGAAAAGCAAAUGUAGGCAUAAGUAACGAUAAUGCGGGCGAGAAACCCGCACACCGAAAGACCAAGGUUUCCUGAUCAACGCUAAUCGGAUCAGGGUUAGUCGGGUCCUAAGGGCGAGGCGAAAGCGCAGUUCGAUGGACAACUGGUUAAUAUUCCAGUACCGGCACGCCAUAGCGAUGCGGUGACGGAGAAGUGAAAGGACGGCGCGCUGACGGAAUAGCGCGUUUAAAGCCGUAGGUAUUGGACCGGUCGUGAAGUACGCCGGACUAGCUGAAAGCUGAAAGUACUCCAACCCCUCGGGGGCGGAGAUCGUCCCUAAUCAGGCUCCCUAGAAAACCCGCUAAGCGUUUAAAUGGCUUGCCGCCCGUACCGCAAACCGACACAGGUGGUCGAGGAGAGAAUCCUAAGGUGCUCGAGUGAAUCACGGCCAAGGAACUCGGCAAAAUGGCCCUGUAACUUCGGGAGAAGGGGCGCUUCCUUGCAGCAAUGCAAGAAGCCGCAGUGAAAAGGCCCAGGCGACUGUUUAACAAAAACACAUGGCUUUGCGAAAUCGAGAGAUGAAGUAUAAGGCCUGACACCUGCCCGGUGCCGGAAGGUUAAGAGGGGAUGUCAGCCGCAAGGCGAAGCAUUGAAUCGAAGCCCCGGUAAACGGCGGCCGUAACUAUAACGGUCCUAAGGUAGCGAAAUUCCUUGUCGGGUAAGUUCCGACCUGCACGAAUGGUGUAACGAUCUGGGCGCUGUCUCAGCCGUGAGCUCGGUGAAAUUGUAGUCUCGGUGAAGAUGCCGAGUACCCGCAACGGGACGGAAAGACCCCAUGAACCUUUACUAUAGCUUAGCAUUGACGCUGGGUAACUCAUGUGUAGGAUAGGUGGGAGGAGAUGAAGCGGCGUCGCCAGGCGUCGUGGAUCCGUCCUUGAAAUACCACCCUUGAGUUGCUUGGCGCCUAACCUCACAGAGUGGGGGACCGUGCUUGGUGGGUAGUUUGACUGGGGUGGUCGCCUCCAAAACAGUAACGGAGGCUUUCAAAGGUUCCCUCAGCACGCUUGGUAACCGUGCGCAGAGCGCAAUAGCAGAAGGGAGCUUGACUGUGAGGCCCACAAGCCGAGCAGGGCCGAAAGGCGGAUAUAGUGAUCCGGUGGUUCCGCAUGGAAGGGCCAUCGCUCAAAGGAUAAAAGGUACUCUGGGGAUAACAGGCUGAUCUCCCCCAAGAGCUCAUAUCGACGGGGAGGUUUGGCACCUCGAUGUCGGCUCGUCACGUCCUGGGGCUGGAGAAGGUCCCAAGGGUUCGGCUGUUCGCCGAUUAAAGUGGCACGCGAGCUGGGUUCAGAACGUCGUGAGACAGUUCGGUCCCUAUCUGUUGUGGGCGUCGGAGAUUUGAGGGGUUCUGGCCUUAGUACGAGAGGACCGGGCUGGACGAGCCUCUGGUGGACCUGUUGUGGCGCCAGCCGCAGCGCAGGGUAGCUACGCUCGGACGGGAUAAGCGCUGAAAGCAUCUAAGUGCGAAACCCGCCCCAAGAUGAGAUCUCCCUUAAGGGCCGUCAAAGACGAUGACGUCGAUAGGUGGCAGGUGUAAAGGUGGAAACACCAAAGCCGAGCCAUACUAAUUGCCCGAGCGCGUCCGGCC
Molecule: ribosomal RNA, 2897 nt
Organism: Pontibacter akesuensis
Lineage: Bacteria; Pseudomonadati; Bacteroidota; Cytophagia; Cytophagales; Hymenobacteraceae
Rfam family: Bacterial large subunit ribosomal RNA
Source: Rfam